RNAcentral lists this long non-coding RNA (1225 nucleotides) under Sus scrofa (pig). RNAcentral describes it as "lncRNA (ENSSSCG00040028464.1)". The record is from RNAcentral. Lineage: Eukaryota; Metazoa; Chordata; Mammalia; Artiodactyla; Suidae.
UUUUUUUUUUUUUUUUUGCUUUUUAGGGCUGUACCCAUCACAUAUGGAGGUUACCAGGCUACGGGUCGAAUCAGCGCUACAGCUGCUGAUCUACACCAUAGCCACAGCAACACCAGAUCCGAGCUGUGUCUGCGACUUAUGCCAUAGCAACACCAGAGCCCAGCUGUGUCUGCGACCUACACCGCAGCUCACGGCAACUCGGGAUCCUUAACCCACUGAGUGAGGACAGGGAUCGAACCCACAUCCUCAUGGAUACUAGUUGGGUUCUUUACUACUGAGCCACAACAGGAACUCCGGGAGUCCUUUCUUACAGCACAACUGAACACGCUCCUUUGUUUUGACUUGAUCUUUUUUUUUUUUUUUUUUUUUUUUUUUGAUGGUGAAGUUUCAUGUACUUUUAAGAACCCAUCAGUUUUUUUUUGCUGCCUGACACAUCACCACAACCUUCCAGCUUCCUCUGCUUGGGGUCCCACAGGGCCACAACAUAGGUUGUGCCAUGUCUGCAACCUAACUGAAGCUUGAAGCAACAUCGUAUCCUUAACCCACUGAGCGAGGCCAGGAAUCGAACCUCGCAGAGGCUAUGUUGGGGUCUUAACCCACUGAGCCACAAGGGGAACGCCACUGUCACCUAUUUUACCUAGGCGGAAUUAAAUACUGCAGACACCUGUGCUGGUUUCCACUCUUCUGAAGCCCCCUCCAAAGUGCCAGGGUUUUUCUGUCUCGCCCAACCUCAGCUGAUGGAUGUAAACAAUCUGCCCAGGUCCAUCACCUGCUGGCAUCACCAACUCACACUCCCGAUGGAUGAAGAUUCAUUGUUGUUGUCUGACCAUAAGCAGUUCCUCAGCUUUUACCCGAGUGGACCCACACAGACAGCUCAUUGAAUUGUCUUAACAGCCAUAAUUUCUGUCUCGAACUGCAGUUUUAUAUGUCCACAACUUAACUGAUCAGGCACUCUGCCUGCUCCCACAGUGAUUUCUUUUUCUUUUNNNNNNNNNNNNNNNNNNNNNNNNNNNNNNNNNNNNNNNUUUUUUUGUCUUUUUGCCAUUUCUUGGGCUGCUCAUUUAAGUUCAUUGCUGUGGGCAAGACACUGCAAGACACAUAGAAAAGGUAGAUGCUGGGCAGAGGGAAGUGGGCAGCUGUGGUCCAGCCAGGGCGCGGCACACCGGGGUACCUGUGUUUGCUUGUGAAGAGUCCUUCGUUCAUGCACGAGACACUCCUUUUAUAG